RNAcentral lists this long non-coding RNA (220 nucleotides) under Lathyrus oleraceus (garden pea). RNAcentral describes it as "Pisum sativum (pea) long non-coding RNA (PSAT_LNC031528)". Lineage: Eukaryota; Viridiplantae; Streptophyta; Magnoliopsida; Fabales; Fabaceae. The record is from RNAcentral.
UUUCUUUCACUCUUAUUUUAUAUUUAUGUUCUUUCAUUGAGGACAAUAUAUGUUUUAAGUGUGGUGGAGGGAACCAUUUAUUUGUUUUGUUUUCUUUGUUUUGUUUUCAGUUUUUCUUUGUUUUGGUUUUUGUUUGCUUUCUUAUAAAAAAAUUGCAUGCUUUUUCCCUUGGUUUUUGAGUUACAAUUAUGAGUAUUUUUCUUAGUUCUCUUGACUAAAG